Molecule: transfer RNA, 66 nt
Filed under: Therophilus festivus
Lineage: Eukaryota; Metazoa; Arthropoda; Insecta; Hymenoptera; Braconidae
Description: tRNA-Pro
Source: RNAcentral
CAAAAUAUAAUUUAAAAAAAAUAUUAAUUUUGGAAAUUAAAUUUAUAUUUAAAAAUAUUAUUUUGA